GCUCGCACCCCCUCCCCUCCUCUCCCGCCCACCUGGCCCGCCCCGCCCCCCUUUCCGAUCCCUCCCCUCCUCCGGGACCCCGGGCGCGCCCCAGCCGGCCCCCGCACCUCGCUGACGGCCCGCCGAGACAACGCGCCCCCUCUUCCCGCUCCGGUGGCUGAUUUUCGGAGGAGAGGAAAUUUCACUUUUUCACGGCCGCCGCCGACCCCGCCCCUGCCUUCAGCCCCAUCCCCUUCCCGAGCAGGGCUGAUUUCUACCUCCUGGUGCGGGUGUCUGGGGAGGCGGUGUUGCCAUGGUUUGCCUUGACCUUGGCAAAGGAGGGGAGGGAUAUUGCCCUGGCUUAAGCUACGUUUGAGCUUCCUCGGGUUUCCUUGGCUCCCUGGACCCAGCCCUCGGUGAUAUCAUUUGCCACAUUUUCCUUGGGUGAGCCUGGCUUUCCCGCCUGAACGUAAGUUACCCAGGGGCUGACACCUGGCCUCAUUCAUAUGUGUACCCCCAAAGCCUAGCCCAGAGCAGGUGCAUGAUCAAUUCUUAGUGCCAGGCAUGGCUCUAAACCCCAAGCACGGAUUGCCUCACUUCGACUCCCCUGUUCCUCGUGAGGAACACGAGCUUUUAGUCACUUUGGUUUGGUGAGUGUCAGGUAAAGAAGAGAAUCACCCAAGAAUGUGUCAUAGGAGGACUGAGACCGAGUUGGGACAGUCGAAAAGAAUGAACCCAGAAUACAGUUUUAUUCGUUUGGUUUUGGUUAAGUCAAACCGUGAAACACGGAAAAUACACAGACUGUACCAUUCACAGGAUGAACAGCCACUUGCAUUUGUCCAAAAUGUGUAAUACACAACCACGGCAGAAGAGGAAAGGAGGCAUUCAGAGAUACGCAAUGUCAAUGCAGAGCCAACCCAGGAAGAUCUAGGCCAACACAUGAGAAAAAGACCGAGAGAAGUUAAGUACAUGAUGAAGGCCCUUGGCAUUUCUAGAGCUCCUUUUCAAAAUGUAGCAUGUAUCAUGCAGUGGUUUGUACAAGAAGAUUAGAAGGUCAACAUUCCAGAGGUCUCCUCAGGGCUGUUCCCCUAGUUCACUGAGUGACUUUGGGCAAGCCAUUAAUUUCUCCAGCCUCAUAACCUGAUCUGGAAAACAGAGAUAAACGGCACCAGCCUCACUGCCACAGUCUGUUGAAGUCUCUGGAUAGGAUGUGUGAAGAGGGCAGCGUCUUAUGUUGAAAGUGCUUUGCCGAUGCUAAUUAAUCCUCGCAGCGCCCCCACGCCCUGUCAUAUCGUCCACUUUGCACAGCUGAGGGACCUGAAACAGAAAGCCUGAGCAACUUGUCCAAAGACACAGAAGUCUGCAUCGGAACAGGGGGGAUUAGCAGGCGACAGCAGUGGCAUCCGAAGAGGCGAGAUUUUCACUUCACUCAUAAAAUACAAUGAAAUUGCAUCUGGAAUGUUUUCAUUUUGAAGACAUAGUUUCUGUGUCAGUGGAUUCUAAGGCAAAGAAAAAAAACAGUCACAUUUGUGUGUGUGUGUGUGUGUGUGUGUGUGUGUGUGUGUGUGUGGCAGCAGUUUAGGGACUCCUUUCUUUGGCUGGUGACUGUAAUUAGCUGCACACAGCAAUUCUACCUCUAUCUCACUGGCCAGAGCUUAGUCACAUGCCCUGGGCUUCACAAAGAGAUGGGGAAGUGUAGGUUUUAUGCAAGGCAGCCACGAGCCAGGCUAAGUGUGGGAGUCGACAGCAAAGGCAGA
This 1736-nucleotide long non-coding RNA is filed under the name Lynx canadensis (Canada lynx). Its description in RNAcentral is "lncRNA (ENSLCNG00005006827.1)". The record is from RNAcentral. Lineage: Eukaryota; Metazoa; Chordata; Mammalia; Carnivora; Felidae.